AGAGUUUGAUCCUGGCUCAGGAUGAACGCUGGCGGCGUGCCUAAUACAUGCAAGUCGAGCGAACGGACGAGAAGCUUGCUUCUCUGAUGUUAGCGGCGGACGGGUGAGUAACACGUGGAUAACCUACCUAUAAGACUGGGAUAACUUCGGGAAACCGGAGCUAAUACCGGAUAAUAUUUUGAACCGCAUGGUUCAAAAGUGAAAGACGGUCUUGCUGUCACUUAUAGAUGGAUCCGCGCUGCAUUAGCUAGUUGGUAAGGUAACGGCUUACCAAGGCAACGAUGCAUAGCCGACCUGAGAGGGUGAUCGGCCACACUGGAACUGAGACACGGUCCAGACUCCUACGGGAGGCAGCAGUAGGGAAUCUUCCGCAAUGGGCGAAAGCCUGACGGAGCAACGCCGCGUGAGUGAUGAAGGUCUUCGGAUCGUAAAACUCUGUUAUUAGGGAAGAACAUAUGUGUAAGUAACUGUGCACAUCUUGACGGUACCUAAUCAGAAAGCCACGGCUAACUACGUGCCAGCAGCCGCGGUAAUACGUAGGUGGCAAGCGUUAUCCGGAAUUAUUGGGCGUAAAGCGCGCGUAGGCGGUUUUUUAAGUCUGAUGUGAAAGCCCACGGCUCAACCGUGGAGGGUCAUUGGAAACUGGAAAACUUGAGUGCAGAAGAGGAAAGUGGAAUUCCAUGUGUAGCGGUGAAAUGCGCAGAGAUAUGGAGGAACACCAGUGGCGAAGGCGACUUUCUGGUCUGUAACUGACGCUGAUGUGCGAAAGCGUGGGGAUCAAACAGGAUUAGAUACCCUGGUAGUCCACGCCGUAAACGAUGAGUGCUAAGUGUUAGGGGGUUUCCGCCCCUUAGUGCUGCAGCUAACGCAUUAAGCACUCCGCCUGGGGAGUACGACC
RNAcentral lists this ribosomal RNA (898 nucleotides) under Staphylococcus aureus DAR1941. Its description in RNAcentral is "bacterial SSU rRNA". It matches the Rfam family "Bacterial small subunit ribosomal RNA", at positions 8 to 887 of the family's 1533-position model. The record is from RNAcentral. Lineage: Bacteria; Bacillati; Bacillota; Bacilli; Caryophanales; Staphylococcaceae.